RNAcentral lists this non-coding RNA (27 nucleotides) under Mus musculus (house mouse). Lineage: Eukaryota; Metazoa; Chordata; Mammalia; Rodentia; Muridae. The record is from RNAcentral.
UGCAGAGCUCUACAAAACGACCUACUG